RNAcentral lists this ribosomal RNA (1360 nucleotides) under metagenome. RNAcentral's name for it is "SSU rRNA". It matches the Rfam family "Eukaryotic small subunit ribosomal RNA", at positions 384 to 1801 of the family's 1831-position model. The record is from RNAcentral.
UUGAGAGGGAGCAUGAGAAACGGCUACCACAUCUAAGGAAGGCAGCAGGCGCGUAAAUUACCCAAUCCUGACUCAGGGAGGUAGUGACAAGAAAUAGCAAACCGGGAACCUCAUGGUUUCACGGUAUUGCAAUGAGAACAAUUUAAAACCCUUAGCGAGAAUCAAGUGGAGGACAAGUCUGGUGCCAGCACCCGCGGUAAUUCCAGCUCCACUAGCGUAUAUUAAAGUUGUUGCAGUUAAAAAGCUCGUAGUUGAACCUCUGUCUGGGGCUAGUUUUGGCUUUGGUCAGGCUAGUUCUAGGCAUCCGCCUACAAGACUUAGAGGGCAUUCAGUUGUUCACUAGGAGGAGUAGGCAUUUUACUUUGAAAAAAUUAGAGUGUUUAAGGCAGGCAAUCGCCCGCAUAUAUUAGCAUGGAAUAAUAGAAUAGGACACUUUUCCAUUUCGUUGGUUAUUGGAAUCGUGUAAUGAUUAAUAGGGACAGUUGUGGGCAUUUGUAUUUAAUUGUCAGAGGUGAAAUUCUUGGAUUUAUUAAAGACAAACUAACGCGAAAGCAUUUGCCAAGGAUGUUUUCAUUAAUCAAGAACGAAAGUUAGGGGAUCAAAGACGAUCAGAUACCGUCCUAGUCUUAACUAUAAACUAUUCCGACUCAAUGUUUGACUGGCUUAUAUAACCAGUUGAGCGUUGUAUGAGAAAUCAAAGUCUUUAGGUUCUGGGGGGAGUAUGGUUGCAAAGCUGAAACUUAAAGGAAUUGACGGAAGAGCACAACCAGGAGUGGAUUCUGCGGCUUAAUUUGACUCAACACGGGGAAACUUACCAGGUUAAAACAAUAGUGGGAUUGACAGUUUGAGAGCGCUUUCUUGAUUGGUUGGGUGGUGGUGCAUGGCCGUUCUUAGUUGGUGGAGUGAUUUGUCUGCUUAAUUGCGUUAACGAACGAGACCUUAACCUGCUUACUAGACUGGCGAUCAUCAAUCGUUAGCUCUUCUUAGAGGGACUUUGGUUGUUUUAACUCCAAGGAAGUUUGAGGCAAUAACAGGUCUGUGAUGCCCUUAGAUAUCCUGGGCCGCACGCGUCAUACAAUGACUAGUUCAGAAAGUUUUCUCCUGACCCGAAAGGGGAUGGGUAAUCUUGAUAAUACUAGUCGUGUUAGGGAUCGAUCUUUGCAAUUAUAGAUCUUGAACGAGGAAUUCCUAGUAAGUGCGGUUCAUCAGACCGUACUGAUUACGUCCCUGCUCUUUGUACACACCGCCCGUCGCUUCUACCGAGUGGGUGGUCCGGUGAGAUAAUUGAACUUCGCAGGUAACUGAGAGGAAAGAUUAUCAAACCUAUCCACCUCGAGGAAGAAGAAGUUGUAACAAGGUU